GAGAGUUUGAUCCUGGCUCAGAUUGAACGCUGGCGGCAGGCUUAACACAUGCAAGUCGAGCGGAGAUGAGGUGCUUGCACCUUAUCUUAGCGGCGGACGGGUGAGUAAUGCUUAGGAAUCUGCCUAUUAGUGGGGGACAACAUUCCGAAAGGAAUGCUAAUACCGCAUACGUCCUACGGGAGAAAGCAGGGGAUCUUCGGACCUUGCGCUAAUAGAUGAGCCUAAGUCGGAUUAGCUAGUUGGUGGGGUAAAGGCCUACCAAGGCGACGAUCUGUAGCGGGUCUGAGAGGAUGAUCCGCCACACUGGGACUGAGACACGGCCCAGACUCCUACGGGAGGCAGCAGUGGGGAAUAUUGGACAAUGGGGGGAACCCUGAUCCAGCCAUGCCGCGUGUGUGAAGAAGGCCUUAUGGUUGUAAAGCACUUUAAGCGAGGAGGAGGCUACUGAGACUAAUACUCUUGGAUAGUGGACGUUACUCGCAGAAUAAGCACCGGCUAACUCUGUGCCAGCAGCCGCGGUAAUACAGAGGGUGCGAGCGUUAAUCGGAUUUACUGGGCGUAAAGCGUGCGUAGGCGGCUUUUUAAGUCGGAUGUGAAAUCCCCGAGCUUAACUUGGGAAUUGCAUUCGAUACUGGGAAGCUAGAGUAUGGGAGAGGAUGGUAGAAUUCCAGGUGUAGCGGUGAAAUGCGUAGAGAUCUGGAGGAAUACCGAUGGCGAA
RNAcentral lists this ribosomal RNA (718 nucleotides) under uncultured bacterium. RNAcentral describes it as "bacterial SSU rRNA". It matches the Rfam family "Bacterial small subunit ribosomal RNA", at positions 8 to 719 of the family's 1533-position model. The record is from RNAcentral.